CGUAAAGCGCACGCAGGCGGUUUGUUAAGCUAGAUGUGAAAGCCCCGGGCUCAACCUGGGAUGGUCAUUUAGAACUGGCAGACUAGAGUCUUGGAGAGGGAGUGGAAUUCCAGGUGUAGCGGUGAAUGCGUAGAUAUCUGGAGGAACAUCAGUGGCGAAGGCGACUCCCUGGCCAAAGACUGACGCUCAUGUGCGAAAGUGUGGGUAGCGAACAGGAUUAGAUACCCUGGUAGUCCACACCGUAAACGCUGUCUACUAGCUGUGUGUGCCUUUAAGGCGUGCGUAGCGAAGCUAACGCGCUAAGUAGACCGCCUGGGGAGUACGGCCGCAAGGUUAAAACUCAAAUGAAUUGACGGGGGCCCGCACAAGCGGUGGAGCAUGUGGUUUAAUUCGAUGCAACGCGAAGAACCUUACCUAGGCUUGACAUGCUUGUCGUACUCUCCCGAAAAGGAGAGGUCACUUCGGGUGGACAAUGCACAGGUGCUGCAUGGCC
Molecule: ribosomal RNA, 493 nt
Filed under: uncultured Alteromonas sp.
Lineage: Bacteria; Pseudomonadati; Pseudomonadota; Gammaproteobacteria; Alteromonadales; Alteromonadaceae
Description: bacterial SSU rRNA
Rfam family: Bacterial small subunit ribosomal RNA
Source: RNAcentral